This 502-nucleotide ribosomal RNA is filed under the name uncultured Glomeromycotina. RNAcentral describes it as "partial small subunit ribosomal RNA". It matches the Rfam family "Eukaryotic small subunit ribosomal RNA", at positions 591 to 1092 of the family's 1831-position model. Lineage: Eukaryota; Fungi; Glomeromycota. The record is from RNAcentral.
CCAAUAGCGUAUAUUAAAGUUGUUGCAGUUAAAAAGCUCGUAGUUGAAUUUCGGGGUCUGUCCAUUGGUCGGGCUUUACGGUCCGUACUGGUGAGAUGGGUUCCUACCUUCUGAAUAACCAGCAUGCCAUUCAGUUGGUGCGUUGGGGAAGCAGAGCUAUUACCUUGAAAAAAUUAGAGUGCUUAAAGCAGGCUAGUGCUUGAAUAGAUUAGCAUGGAAUAAUAAAAUAGGACGGCAUGGUUCUAUUUUGUUGGUUUCUAGGAUCACCGUAAUGAUUAAUAGGGAUAGUUGGGGGCAUUAGUAUUCAAUUGUCAGAGGUGAAAUUCUUGGAUUUAUUGAAGACUAACUUCUGCGAAAGCAUUUGCCAAGGAUGUUUUCAUUAAUCAAGAACGAAAGUUAGGGGAUCGAAGACGAUCAGAUACCGUCGUAGUCUUAACCAUAAACUAUGCCGACUAGGGAUCGGACGAUGUUAAUUUUUUAAUGACUCGUUCGGCGCCUUACG